This 31-nucleotide non-coding RNA is filed under the name Homo sapiens (human). Lineage: Eukaryota; Metazoa; Chordata; Mammalia; Primates; Hominidae. The record is from RNAcentral.
UCCCGACGCUGUGAAGGGCCUCACCCCUGUU